Triticum dicoccoides is the source of this 170-nucleotide long non-coding RNA. RefSeq lists it as uncharacterized. The record is from RefSeq and is a predicted model, not a curated record. Lineage: Eukaryota; Viridiplantae; Streptophyta; Magnoliopsida; Poales; Poaceae. The transcript has 3 exons.
CUAGUAUCUCCUUGAUCCUUUGAUAAGAUGAGCUGAACAUAUUCAAGGUUUCUAGCGGGAAUCACUUCUUCGUGGCCAUUCUGGUGAUAAUGGUUGUACUCCAGGUGCUGAUGGUCCAAGAAUUGUAAAGAUGAGGCAGGGGAACCUUAUUUGUGUGGUGGAUGCAAUUA